CUAGCCACGGGAUAUUGGCGCGGUUCAAUCAGAAAGCUUGCGCUCCAGGCCCGAGGGGCUCCACUCUUUGAUUGAGCCGUGCCAAUAUCACGUCCCGGCCA
Non-coding RNA from Zea mays, 101 nucleotides. Lineage: Eukaryota; Viridiplantae; Streptophyta; Magnoliopsida; Poales; Poaceae. The record is from Rfam.